Molecule: non-coding RNA, 1002 nt
Organism: Camelina sativa (false flax)
Lineage: Eukaryota; Viridiplantae; Streptophyta; Magnoliopsida; Brassicales; Brassicaceae
Source: RefSeq, a predicted model, not a curated record
UCUGCUCUGUUUCACGACAAGUACAACUGACAAACACAACUGAAAAACAAUCCUAAUUUCACUCCCACUAACAGAUCCACGUUCAAGGUGGUUACAACAAUUCUCAUCUUCUAUAUAAAUGUUCUUCAACAUCCUCUAAAUAAAUAAAAAACGCACCAUGUUUUAAUCAUAAACCAAUGCCCCACCAGAUCCAUAUCUUCUUUUCGAAAACCUCUUUCAAUUUCACAAAGCUAAAUUCGUUUGAAAACAACAAUUCUGACGGAGCUGCAGCAUGCCUCUCGAUUUUACUCAUCUCUCUAAUCUUAAUUCUUUAAAAAGAGAAUGGAAGAUCAUGAAACCAUAGAAGUCUGAUUUUCAAGGUAGAAUGCCGCUGCAUAGGGAUAUAUGAUACAGACAUCCAUCAGAUCGCAGUUAGUCUCAAAAUUCCAGAAUACUAUAUGAUUAUGAACUUUGAGAUUUUAGAUAAUGGAGGGAGUUAUAGAGCCAGUUCUCAUCCCUACAAGAUCAACUUCAUUAACCAAGUUUGUGAGCACUGAGCAGAUAUCAAACUUGGAAUUCCGUUUCAACUUUGUCACUUUCCCUGAUAUACAAGCUCGAUCUGACAAUGACAAAGUUUUCAUCGACGUUAUUGGUGAGAUCAUUGGAAUGAACGAACUCAAAGUGGUUAUUGUUUCGGGACGACAUACAAAAUUAUGAAAUUUACAGCUCAGAGAUAUUGGAGAAUCAGUCAUCGAUGUUACUUUAUGGGAUAAAUGGGCAGAAGAUUUGCACUCUUAUGUUAAAUGCAAUAAAGUUGUUCCAAUAGUCAUAUAUAACGGUAUAGUCAUAUAUGCCUUCACAAUUAUUAUUAUUAUCUAAUUUCACCUUAGAAGAUCAGUUGACUUAUUUCUUUUUAACUAUUGAGUUCUCAUAUAUUCUUUUUCUAUAGUUAAACCUCGCGCGAUUGAUUUUUUUCAAUCUUCCCCUUAUUGUCCCUUUUUCCAUUUUGAAAAACAAGAAGAA